UCAGGUGGCCAUAGCGGCGGGGUCACACCUCUUCCCAUCCCGAACAGAGAAGUUAAGCCCGCCAGCGCCGAUGGUACUGCAUGAGCGAUUGUGUGGGAGAGUAGGUCGCCGCCUGGU
RNAcentral lists this ribosomal RNA (117 nucleotides) under Candidatus Delongbacteria bacterium. RNAcentral also lists the same sequence under 1 other name. The record is from RNAcentral. Lineage: Bacteria; Candidatus Delongiibacteriota.